RNAcentral lists this transfer RNA (82 nucleotides) under Dreissena polymorpha. It matches the Rfam family "tRNA". From Rfam's summary of the family: Transfer RNA (tRNA) molecules are approximately 80 nucleotides in length. Their secondary structure includes four short double-helical elements and three loops (D, anti-codon, and T loops). The record is from Rfam by way of RNAcentral. Lineage: Eukaryota; Metazoa; Mollusca; Bivalvia; Myida; Dreissenidae.
GUUUACGUGGCCUAGUGGUUAAGGCGAUAGACUACGAAUCUUUUGGGAUCUUCCCGCGCAGGUUCGAAUCCUGCCGACAUCG